RNAcentral lists this ribosomal RNA (514 nucleotides) under uncultured bacterium. RNAcentral's name for it is "partial 16S ribosomal RNA". It matches the Rfam family "Bacterial small subunit ribosomal RNA", at positions 28 to 523 of the family's 1533-position model. The record is from RNAcentral.
GACGAACGCUGGCGGCGUGCCUAACACAUGCAAGUCGAACGGGGAGUUAGUAAUAACUCCUAGUGGCGAACGGGUGAGUAACGCGUAGAUAACCUGCCUCUAAACUGGGGACAACACCGCGAAAGUGGUGCUAAUACCGAAUGUGGUAACUUGAUCGCAUGAUUGAGUUAAGAAAGAUGGCCUCUAUUUAUACGCUAUCGAUUAGAGAUGGGUCUGCGUCUGAUUAGCUAGUUGGUGAGGUAAUGGCUCACCAAGGCGACGAUCAGUAGCCGGUCUGAGAGGAUGAACGGCCACACUGGGACUGAGACACGGCCCAGACUCCUACGGGAGGCAGCAGUGGGGAAUCUUCCGCAAUGGACGAAAGUCUGACGGAGCAACGCCGCGUGAGUGAAGAAGGUCUUCGGAUUGUAAAGCUCUGUCGUUUGGGACGAACGUGGGUAGUGCGAAUAAUGCUAUCUAAUGACGGUACCAAAGGAGGAAGCCACGGCUAACUACGUGCCAGCAGCCGCAGUAA